RNAcentral lists this ribosomal RNA (423 nucleotides) under uncultured bacterium. RNAcentral describes it as "bacterial SSU rRNA". It matches the Rfam family "Bacterial small subunit ribosomal RNA", at positions 358 to 773 of the family's 1533-position model. The record is from RNAcentral.
GGAAUAUUGGACAAUGGGGGAAACCCUGAUCCAGCGACGCCGCGUGGGUGAAGAAGGCCUGCGGGUUGUAAAGCCCUUUCGGUGGGGAAGAAAAGCCUCGACCUAAUACGUCGGGGUCUUGACGUAACCCACCAAAGAAGCACCGGCUAACUCUGUGCCAGCAGCCGCGGUAAUACGAACGGUGCAAGCUUUACUCGGAAUUACUGGGCGUAAAGCGUGCGUAGGUGGUUUGUUAAGUCUGAUGUGAAAGCCCUGGGCUCAACCUGGGAAUUGCAUUGGAUACUGGCAGUCUAGAGUACGGUAGAGGGUAGCGGAAUUCCCGGUGUAGCAGUGAAAUGCGUAGAUAUCGGGAGGAACAUCCGUGGCGAAGGCGGCUACCUGGACCAGCACUGACACUGAGGCACGAAAGCGUGGGGAGCAAAC